GACGAACGCUGGCGGCGUGCCUAAUACAUGCAAGUAGAACGCACAGUUUAUACCGUAGCUUGCUCCACCAUAGACUGUGAGUUGCGAACGGGUGAGUAACGCGUAGGUAACCUGCCUGGUAGCGGGGGAUAACUAUUGGAAACGAUAGCUAAUACCGCAUAAUAUUGAUUAUUGCAUGAUAAUUGAUUGAAAGAUGCUAUUGCAUCACUACCAGAUGGACCUGCGUUGUAUUAGCUAGUAGGUGAGGUAACGGCUCACCUAGGCGACGAUACAUAGCCGACCUGAGAGGGUGAUCGGCCACACUGGGACUGAGACACGGCCCAGACUCCUACGGGAGGCAGCAGUAGGGAAUCUUCGGCAAUGGACGAAAGUCUGACCGAGCAACGCCGCGUGAGUGGAGAAGGUUUUCGGAUCGUAAAGCUCUGUUGUAAGAGAAGAACGGGUGUGAGAGUGGAAAGUUCACACUGUGACGGUAUCUUACCAGAAAGGGACGGCUAACUACGUG
This 505-nucleotide ribosomal RNA is filed under the name uncultured bacterium. RNAcentral describes it as "partial 16S ribosomal RNA". It matches the Rfam family "Bacterial small subunit ribosomal RNA", at positions 28 to 507 of the family's 1533-position model. The record is from RNAcentral.